RNAcentral lists this ribosomal RNA (393 nucleotides) under uncultured bacterium. RNAcentral's name for it is "partial 16S ribosomal RNA". It matches the Rfam family "Bacterial small subunit ribosomal RNA", at positions 523 to 918 of the family's 1533-position model. The record is from RNAcentral.
AUACGGAGGAUCCGAGCGUUAUCCGGAUUUAUUGGGUUUAAAGGGAGCGUAGGUGGACAGUUAAGUCAGUUGUGAAAGUUUGCGGCUCAACCGUAAAAUUGCAGUUGAUACUGGCUGUCUUGAGUACAGUAGAGGUGGGCGGAAUUCGUGGUGUAGCGGUGAAAUGCUUAGAUAUCACGAAGAACUCCGAUUGCGAAGGCAGCUCACUGGACUGCAACUGACACUGAUGCUCGAAAGUGUGGGUAUCAAACAGGAUUAGAUACCCAGGUAGUCCAAACAGUAAACGAUGAAUACUCGCUGUUUGCGAUAUACAGUAAGCGGCUAAGCGAAAGCAUUAAGUAUUCCACCUGGGGAGUACGCCGGCAACGGUGAAACUCAAAUGAAUUGAAGGGG